Molecule: ribosomal RNA, 459 nt
Filed under: uncultured bacterium
Lineage: Bacteria
Description: partial 16S ribosomal RNA
Rfam family: Bacterial small subunit ribosomal RNA
Source: RNAcentral
CCUACGGGUGGCAGCAGUGAGGAAUAUUGGUCAAUGGGCGCGAGCCUGAACCAGCCAAGUCGCGUGAGGGAAGACGGUCCUAUGGAUUGUAAACCUCUUUUGUCGGGGAGCAAAAGACGCCACGCGUGGCGUUCCGAGAGUACCCGAAGAAAAAGCAUCGGCUAACUCCGUGCCAGCAGCCGCGGGAAUACGGGGUAUGCGAGCGUUAUCCGGAUUUAUAGGGUUUAACGGGUGCGUAGGCGGACAGUAAAGUCAGCGGUAAAAAUGAGGUGCUCAACGCCGUCCAGCCGUUGAAACUGGCUGUCUUGAGAUGGCGAGAGGUAUGCGGAAUGCGCAGUGUAGCGGUGAAAUGCUUAGAUAUUGCGCAGAACUCCGAUUGCGAAGGCAGCAUACCGGCGGCGAUCUGACGCUGAGGCACGAAAGCGUGGGUAUCGAACAGGAUUAGAUACCCCAGUAGUC